UACAGAGGGGGCAAGCGUUGUUCGGAAUUACUGGGCGUAAAGGGCGCGUAGGCGGCCUGCUAAGUCGAACGUGAAAUCCCCGGGCUCAACCCGGGAACUGCAUCCGAUACUGACAGGCUUGAAUCCGGGAGAGGGAUGUGGAAUUCCAGGUGUAGCGGUGAAAUGCGUAGAUAUCUGGAGGAACACCGGUGGCGAAGGCGGCAUCCUGGACCGGUAUUGACGCUGAUGCGCGAAAGCCAGGGGAGCAAACGGG
This 253-nucleotide ribosomal RNA is filed under the name uncultured bacterium. Its description in RNAcentral is "partial 16S ribosomal RNA". It matches the Rfam family "Bacterial small subunit ribosomal RNA", at positions 524 to 776 of the family's 1533-position model. The record is from RNAcentral.